RNAcentral lists this transfer RNA (77 nucleotides) under Bartonella alsatica. RNAcentral's name for it is "tRNA-Ile". It matches the Rfam family "tRNA". Rfam says of the family: Transfer RNA (tRNA) molecules are approximately 80 nucleotides in length. Their secondary structure includes four short double-helical elements and three loops (D, anti-codon, and T loops). Further hydrogen bonds mediate the characteristic L-shaped molecular structure. tRNAs have two regions of fundamental functional importance: the anti-codon, which is responsible for specific mRNA codon recognition, and the 3' end, to which the tRNAs corresponding amino acid is attached (by aminoacyl-tRNA synthetases). tRNAs cope with the degeneracy of the genetic code in two manners: having more than one tRNA (with a specific anti-codon) for a particular amino acid; and 'wobble' base-pairing, i.e. permitting non-standard base-pairing at the 3rd anti-codon position. Lineage: Bacteria; Pseudomonadati; Pseudomonadota; Alphaproteobacteria; Hyphomicrobiales; Bartonellaceae. RNAcentral also lists the same sequence under 2 other names. The record is from RNAcentral.
GGGCCUGUAGCUCAAUUGGUUAGAGCCAGCGGCUCAUAACCGCUUGGUUGGGGGUUCGAGUCCCUCCAGGCCCACCA